UCCAGGGGAACGAACGAAGAAUAACGACGUAUUGGAUUGGAUGAAGAAAGUCAUGAUUGGAGCCAGCUGCGGUUGUCCUUGGCGACAUGGGAAGAGUGGAACUCGACAAGAUUGACAAGCGCGUCGCGGUGGGAGGAGUGAAGGGGAGUGUGAGAGACGCGCUAGGCACGGAGUGAGAUCCACGCGAGAAAGAGGAAGAUGACGAGAAGGAAUGGGAUGGGGUAAGGUCGCUGGAUGAACCAGGUGAUGAUAGAGGGACGGGUCUAUUGGGACGACGUCGUUUGGGAGUUUAUGAAGCUCAUUCUUCUCUGCGUCGCCAUUGUGUUGUUGUUCUUCUCUCUUUCUCUCUCUCUCAUUCUGCGAUUUUCGAAUUCGAUUUGGAAAUGAAAGUGGAAGAAGUCGAUUUGUUGUUCCUCUCUCUUUACUCUUUAAUUUCAUCACUAUAUUCGUUCCCUUCUUCUUCUUCACCGCAAAUUACAUUUUCACAGUGUUCGCCGCAAGGUUUAUUAUCUCCCGCAAAUGAUUAUUUUACCUUUUUACGCCAAUAUUUUAGAGACUAUUGUUGUUAUUUCAUAUUACAUUUCGUAAUUGUGCUUAAUCUUUGGUUAAUGAUAUAUGUUGUGUUAGCCGGUUAGGUUUUCAUGGUGUGUUGUGGAAUAUGGACCAAAACACAAUUGUUUUCUAGGUUUUAACUUUAUUUUUUUGUUUUCCAUCGUUGUCUUCGUAGAAUAUCUUCGAUGGCAUCCCAAAUUAUCUUUGAGUAGUCUGGAAUCAAUACAUUCGCCCAUGCUACCCAGACUAAGUUGCUUGAGCUCUUGGGAAAACUUAAACAAGAG
Molecule: long non-coding RNA, 836 nt
Filed under: Phaseolus vulgaris (common bean)
Lineage: Eukaryota; Viridiplantae; Streptophyta; Magnoliopsida; Fabales; Fabaceae
Description: long non-coding RNA (PVUL_LNC001617)
Source: RNAcentral